GGUAGAAAUACCAAAACUGAGGUGCCGAAGGAUGGGCUCGCGUCUGAUUAGAUAGUUGGUGGGGUAACGGCCUACCAAGUCGACGAUCAGUAGCCGGACUGAGAGGUUGAACGGCCACAUUGGACUGAGACACGGGCCCAGACUCCUACGGGAGGCAGCAGUGGGGAAUAUUGCACAAUGGGGGAAACCCUGAUGCAGCAACGCCGCGUGAAGGAAGACGGUUUUCGGAUUGUAAACUUCUGUUCUUAGUGAAGAAUAAUGACGGUAGCUAAGGAGCAAGCCACGGCUAACUACGUGCCAGCAGCCGCGGUAAUACGUAGGUGGCAAGCGUUGUCCGGAAUUACUGGGUGUAAAGGGAGCGUAGGCGGGAUGCCAAGUCAGCUGUGAAAACUAUGGGCUUAACUUGUAGACUGCAGUUGAAACUGGUAUUCUUGAGUGAAGUAGAGGUUGGCGGAAUUCCGAGUGUAGCGGUGAAAUGCGUAGAUAUUCGGAGGAACACCGGUGGCGAAGGCGGCCAACUGGGCUUUAACUGACGCUGAGGCUCGAAAGUGUGGGGAGCAAACAGGAUUAGAUACCCUGGUAGUCCACACUGUAAACGAUGAUAACUAGGUGUGGGGGGUCUGACCCCUUCCGUGCCGCAGCUAACGCAAUAAGUUAUCCACCUGGGGAGUA
Molecule: ribosomal RNA, 672 nt
Filed under: uncultured bacterium
Lineage: Bacteria
Description: bacterial SSU rRNA
Rfam family: Bacterial small subunit ribosomal RNA
Source: RNAcentral